UAGUCCGCGCCCUAAACGAUGCUAACUCGAUAUUUGGAUCUUGAAUCUGAGUGUCUAAGCGAAAGUGAUAAGUAACCCACCUGGGGAGUACGUUCGCAAGAAUGAAACUCAAAGGAAUUGACGGGGGCCCGCACAAGCGGUGGAGUAUGUGGUUUAAUUCGAUGAUACGCGAGGAACCUUACCAGGGCUUAAAUGCAUAUUGACAGGUCUAGAGAUAGAUUUUCCUUCGGGCAAUUUGCAAGGUGCUGCAUGGUUGUCGUCAGCUCGUGCCGUGAGGUGUCAGGUUAAGUCCUAUAACGAGCGCAACCCCUACCGUUAGUUGCCAGCAUGUCAUGAUGGGGACUCUAACGGGACUGCCGGUGCAAACCGUGAGGAAGGUGGGGAUGACGUCAAAUCAUCACGGCCCUUACGUCCUGGGCCACACACGUGCUACAAUGGCAGGUACAGAGAGCAGCCACGUCGCAAGGCGGAGCGAAUCUAUAAAACCUGUCACAGUUCGGAUC
RNAcentral lists this ribosomal RNA (503 nucleotides) under uncultured bacterium. RNAcentral's name for it is "bacterial SSU rRNA". It matches the Rfam family "Bacterial small subunit ribosomal RNA", at positions 791 to 1299 of the family's 1533-position model. The record is from RNAcentral.